GAGCCCCGAGGUGUUGAGCACCCUUCUCUCCCACUGCAGCUAACCACAGCCGAGGGCACUCAGCACGUCACAGGACCAGGCCCAGCACCAGGACGUGCCCCCAGAAGAGCAUCGGGAAAGGAAGGAGCCCCCAACUUGGGGGCUGAUGGGACAGCGCUGCAGUGCUUUGGCAGGCAGUUGCUGUCAUAGGCUUUCCUCCCACCCCAGGCCUACGCCAAGAUCAAGAGCAGCUAGGCCCCAAAUCUGGUCCAGGCCAAACACCAGGGAGAUAGGCUGGUGUGAAGGUGACUGUCUUCUGGCCUGCUCCCCCAGCCUCGCCUCAGAUAGCAUCCGGGUCAAACCGCGCCGCCUCUCCUUGCAUUGCUGUCCUGGGCUCUACCAAGAGCAGAGGAGCAACCCAGUGCAUAGAGAAAAUACCUGCAGCUUCCAGCUUUGA
This 436-nucleotide long non-coding RNA is filed under the name Gopherus agassizii (Agassiz's desert tortoise). RNAcentral describes it as "lncRNA (ENSGAGG00000010599.1)". The record is from RNAcentral. Lineage: Eukaryota; Metazoa; Chordata; Testudines; Testudinidae.